Molecule: long non-coding RNA, 253 nt
Organism: Oncorhynchus nerka (sockeye salmon)
Lineage: Eukaryota; Metazoa; Chordata; Actinopteri; Salmoniformes; Salmonidae
Exons: 3
Source: RefSeq, a predicted model, not a curated record
GGUCGCAGCGUCAGAGGUGGCGUCGUCGGACGGGCCGGUCGCAGCGUCAGAGGUGGCGUCGUCGGACGGGCCGGUCGCAGCGUCAGAGGUGGCGUCGUCGGACGGGCCGGUCGCAGCGUCAGAGGUGGCGUCGUCGUCAGACGGGCCGGUCGCAGCGUCAGAGGUGGCGUCGUCAGAGGUGGCGUCGUCGGACGGGCCGGUCGCAGCGUCAGAGGUGGCGUCGCCAGAGGUGGCGUCGUCGGACGGGCCGGUC